GGCGACAGCGGUACCAGUAGCCGGGGUAAUAGGUAGGUGGCAAGCGUGGGCCGGAAUUAUGGGGCGGAAAGGGAGCGCAGGUGGGAAUGUAAGUCAAUCUUAAAAGUGCGGGGCUCAACCCCGUGAUGGGAUAGAAACGACAUUUCUUGAGUGCAGGAGAGGAAAGUGGAAUUCCUAGUGUAGCGGUGAAAUGCGUAGAUAUUAGGAGGAACACCAGUGGCGAAGGCGACUUUCUGGACUGUUACUGACACUGAGGCUCGAAAGCUAGGGGAGCGAACGGGAUUAGAUACCCCUGUAGUC
Molecule: ribosomal RNA, 300 nt
Filed under: uncultured Lactobacillus sp.
Lineage: Bacteria; Bacillati; Bacillota; Bacilli; Lactobacillales; Lactobacillaceae
Description: bacterial SSU rRNA
Rfam family: Bacterial small subunit ribosomal RNA
Source: RNAcentral